AUAAUACUUCCUCCGUCACAAAUUUUUUGUCUUAGAUUCGUCUAGAUACGGAUGUAUCUAAUACUAAAACAUGACUUGAUACAUCCGUAUUUAGACAAAUUUAAGACAAGAAUUUUGGGACGAAGACAGUAAUUU
Triticum aestivum (bread wheat) is the source of this 135-nucleotide non-coding RNA. The record is from Rfam. NCBI's taxonomy places the organism in Eukaryota, Viridiplantae, Streptophyta, Magnoliopsida, Poales, Poaceae.